UGAGAAUGAACUCCCGAGUACACUGCUUGCAGCCCGUGACUGGAAUGUUAAUUUCGUCCUGCGUCCCCGGCUGGCUCCCUUCAACGACAAUCUUCCUUUGAAGACGUGGAUGACAUAGUAAAACCGAUUGCACUUGAGAGCCGAUUCCAUGACUAUUUUGCUGCAACAGCGAAAGGAAUGGCACCUUUCUGCAUUUCCUGAAAGGCACCCACCCACUACCUGGGAGAACUGGCCCCUGACUUUAGUGAUGAGCUUUUCUUUCUGGAAGAUGAGGAAGCAACCAAGGUCACGAUCGCCGCCCGUGUCACCUUCCCAUCUUCCUGGAGGGGCGACCAUCCCUUCCGUUGGGUACCGCCUCGUGUCCCUGCCAUUUCGUUGUAUAGCAUUAAAACUAGGUCAACUUGUCCUUUUAUUAAGUUCUUCCCAAAUAUAGCAGCGUCAAUUCCAGAAUGGUUUUCUGGGGG
RNAcentral lists this long non-coding RNA (464 nucleotides) under Canis lupus familiaris (dog). RNAcentral's name for it is "lncRNA (ENSCAFG00845004096.1)". The record is from RNAcentral. Lineage: Eukaryota; Metazoa; Chordata; Mammalia; Carnivora; Canidae.